AACGCACAUUGCGCCCCUUGGUAUUCCGAGGGGCAUGCCCGUUCGAGCGUCAUUAUAACCCCUCAAGCCCAGCUUGGUGUUGGGGCCUGCUGUUGCCGGCAGCCCUUAAAAUCAGUGGCGGUGCCAUCUGGCUCUAAGCGUAGUAAUACUUCUCGCUACAGGGUCCCGGUGGAUGCUUGCCAUCAACCCCUAAAUUUCUAUGGUUGACCUCGGAUCGGGUAGGGAUACCCGCUGAACUUAA
RNAcentral lists this unclassified non-coding RNA (241 nucleotides) under uncultured fungus. Its description in RNAcentral is "partial contains 5.8S ribosomal RNA, internal transcribed spacer 2, and large subunit ribosomal RNA". The record is from RNAcentral. Lineage: Eukaryota; Fungi.